GAUGAACGCUAGCGGCAGGCUUAACACAUGCAAGUCGAGGGGCAGCGCGGUGUAGCAAUACACUGGCGGCGACCGGCGCAAGGGUGCGUAACGCGUGAGCGACAUACCCGUGACUGGGGCAUAACCGAUGGAAACGUCGCCUAAUUCCCCAUAAUACAAGGGACCGCAUGAUUCCUUGUUGAAAACUUCGGUGGUCACGGAUUGGCUCGCGUCCCAUUAGCUAGUCGGCGGGGUAACGGCCCACCGAGGCGACGAUGGGUAGGGGUUCUGAGAGGAAGGUCCCCCACAAUGGAACUGAGACACGGUCCAUACUCC
Molecule: ribosomal RNA, 315 nt
Filed under: uncultured Bacteroidales bacterium
Lineage: Bacteria; Pseudomonadati; Bacteroidota; Bacteroidia; Bacteroidales
Description: bacterial SSU rRNA
Rfam family: Bacterial small subunit ribosomal RNA
Source: RNAcentral